This 704-nucleotide long non-coding RNA is filed under the name Helianthus annuus (common sunflower). Its description in RNAcentral is "hypothetical non coding rna". Lineage: Eukaryota; Viridiplantae; Streptophyta; Magnoliopsida; Asterales; Asteraceae. The record is from RNAcentral.
GAAUGGUAAAAAUGCAGUAUGUUAAAUAAUAAUAAAAAAUAGAUGGUAUUGAAAAACCAAAGUUAAAACCGAGUUGAAAGAAAUAAUGUUCUAAAAAUUAACUUAACAAAAUUUAUAAUUGUCACGUCAACGUUCAUUUUAUAAAUACAUAUCUUGAUGACUGUAUAUGUUAACAAUUUACAUCACUUUUUAAAGUUUUUAUAAUAUUAGUAUUAAUACAUGGGUUUAUUCAACCGUGCAGAUCACAUGUUUUUUAAACGUAACUUUUUAUUACUAAUAAUUAUAUAACAUUACAUUUAUCAACCCGUGUAUUACACGGGAUUCUAACCUAGUAGAGAGCAUAGUUGUCAAUAGCGAACGUAGCGAUCGCUAUAGCGUGCUACGUAGUGUAUAGGUCUAGGCUCGCUAAUAGGGUUGUAGCGAUAAUAGCGACAAUUUAUUCUUUUUUUUGUUUUUUUAAUAUAAAUAGCAAUUAAAAUAGCUAUAAAAUGGCUGGAUUUUAGGUUUUUGUUAAAUAUACAUGUAAAAUAGCAUAUACACCAGGGUAUUUUGAUAUAAUAUACAUAUAAAAAAAAUUUAAUUUUUUUUCUAGUGUAUCGCUAUUUAUAAACUAGCCGCCCGCUAUUUAUCGCCAAUUCGUUAUGCAGCAUAUAGCCGUGAGUUUAGUGAUCUCUCUACAGCAGUCCAAGCUUCUGCUCUUCUAG